UACGGAAGGCAGCAGUGGGGAAUAUUGCACAAUGGGCGCAAGCCUGAUGCAGCCAUGCCGCGUGUAUGAAAAAGGCCUUCGGGUUGUAAAGUACUUUCAGUCGUGAGGAAGGUGUUAAGGUUAAUAACCUUAGCAAUUGACGUUAGCGACAGAAGAAGCACCGGCUAACUCCGUGCCAGCAGCCGCGGUAAUACGGAGGGUGCGAGCGUUAAUCGGAAUUACUGGGCGUAAAGGGCACGCAGGCGGUUAAUUAAGUUGGAUGUGAAAUCCCCGGGCUUAACCUGGGAAUGGCAUUCAAGACUGGUUAGCUAGAGUCUUGUAGAGGGGGUAGAAUUCCAUGUGUAGCGGUGAAAUGCGUAGAGAUGUGGAGGAAUACCGGUGGCGAAGGCGGCCCCUGGGACAAAGACUGACGCUCAUGUGCGAAAGCGUGGGGAGCAAACAGGGAUUAGAUA
This 452-nucleotide ribosomal RNA is filed under the name uncultured bacterium. RNAcentral's name for it is "bacterial SSU rRNA". It matches the Rfam family "Bacterial small subunit ribosomal RNA", at positions 340 to 784 of the family's 1533-position model. The record is from RNAcentral.